This 122-nucleotide microRNA precursor is filed under the name Pteropus vampyrus (large flying fox). RNAcentral's name for it is "miRNA (ENSPVAG00000026354.1)". The record is from RNAcentral. Lineage: Eukaryota; Metazoa; Chordata; Mammalia; Chiroptera; Pteropodidae.
UUCAGCAUAAGUAUAUGCAUUUUUAGUAUAAGUAUAGCCCAUCCAAUAUUUGAGACAUAUUUAUGCUAAAAUAAUCAUUGUUCAAUAGACUAUUAAUAUCAGAUUUUAUGAUUGUCUUGUAU